RNAcentral lists this long non-coding RNA (311 nucleotides) under Homo sapiens (human). RNAcentral's name for it is "non-protein coding lnc-SLC12A7-1:3". Lineage: Eukaryota; Metazoa; Chordata; Mammalia; Primates; Hominidae. The record is from RNAcentral.
CCCUCAUUCACACACCCUCAUUCACACACUAACACACUCACACUAACCCAUUCACACACUAACCCACUCGUUCACACACCCAUUCACACACUCAUCCACACAAUAACCCACCCAUUCAUGCACUAACCCACCCAUUCACACUCACCCACUCAUUCACACUAACCCACUCAUUCACACACUACCUCACCCAUUCACACUAACCCACUCGUUCACACACCCAUUCACACUCACCCACUCAUUUGCACACUAACUCACCCACUCAUUCACACUAACCCACUCGUUCACACACUAACUCAUCCACUCAUUCACAC